GACGAACGCUGGCGGCGUGCUUAACGCAUGCAAGUCGAACGGGAUCCGGGCUUUCGGGUUUGGUGAGAGUGGCGAACGGGUGAGUAACACGUGAGUAACCUGCCCCCUUCUUUGGGAUAACGUCGGGAAAUCGGCGCUAAUACUGGAUAUUCUUGCUGCAUCGCAUGGUGUGGUUUGGAAAGGGUUUCUGGUGGGGGAUGGGCUCGCGGCCUAUCAGCUUGUUGGUGGGGUGAUGGCCUACCAAGGCUUUGACGGGUAGCCGGCCUGAGAGGGUGUCCGGCCACACUGGGACUGAGACACGGCCCAGACUCCUACGGGAGGCAGCAGUGGGGAAUAUUGCACAAUGGGCGCAAGCCUGAUGCAGCGACGCCGCGUGAGGGAUGACGGCCUUCGGGUUGUAAACCUCUUUCAGUAUGGAACAAGGAUCCUUCGUUUGGGGGGUUUGAGGGUACGUGCAGAAGAAGCGCCGGCUAACUACGUG
RNAcentral lists this ribosomal RNA (481 nucleotides) under uncultured bacterium. RNAcentral's name for it is "partial 16S ribosomal RNA". It matches the Rfam family "Bacterial small subunit ribosomal RNA", at positions 28 to 507 of the family's 1533-position model. The record is from RNAcentral.